Molecule: ribosomal RNA, 858 nt
Filed under: uncultured bacterium
Lineage: Bacteria
Description: SSU rRNA
Rfam family: Bacterial small subunit ribosomal RNA
Source: RNAcentral
UACGGGAGUGGCAAGCGUUAUCCGGAAUUAUUGGGCGUAAAGCGUCCGCAGGCGGUCUUGUAAGUCUGUUGUUAAAGCGUGGAGCUUAACUCCAUUUCAGCAAUGGAAACUGUAAGACUAGAGUGUGGUAGGGGCAGAGGGAAUUCCCGGUGUAGCGGUGAAAUGCGUAGAUAUCGGGAAGAACACCAGUGGCGAAGGCGCUCUGCUGGGCCAUAACUGACGCUCAUGGACGAAAGCCAGGGGAGCGAAAGGGAUUAGAUACCCCUGUAGUCCUGGCCGUAAACGAUGAACACUAGGUGUCGGGGGAAUCGACCCCCUCGGUGUCGUAGCCAACGCGUUAAGUGUUCCGCCUGGGGAGUACGCACGCAAGUGUGAAACUCAAAGGAAUUGACGGGGGCCCGCACAAGCGGUGGAGUAUGUGGUUUAAUUCGAUGCAACGCGAAGAACCUUACCAGGGUUUGACAUCCUGCGAAUCUUUUGGAAACGAGAGAGUGCCUUCGGGAACGCAGUGACAGGUGGUGCAUGGCUGUCGUCAGCUCGUGUCGUGAGAUGUUGGGUUAAGUCCCGCAACGAGCGCAACCCACGUCGUUAGUUGCCAGCAUUGAGUUGGGCACUCUAGCGAGACCGCCGGUGAUAAACCGGAGGAAGGUGUGGAUGACGUCAAGUCAUCAUGCCCCUUACAUCCUGGGCUACACACGUACUACAAUGCUACGGACAAAGGGCAGCAAACUCGCGAGAGCUAGCAAAUCCCAUAAGCCGUGGCUCAGUUCAGAUCGUAGGCUGCAACUCGCCUACGUGAAGGAGGAAUCGCUAGUAAUCGCUGGUCAGCCAUACAGCGGUGAAUACGUUCUCGGAUCU